Molecule: ribosomal RNA, 435 nt
Filed under: uncultured bacterium
Lineage: Bacteria
Description: partial 16S ribosomal RNA
Rfam family: Bacterial small subunit ribosomal RNA
Source: RNAcentral
AGCGAACGCUGGCGGCAGGCUUAACACAUGCAAGUCGAGCGGGCACUCUCGGGUGUCAGCGGCGGACGGGUGAGUAACGCGUGGGAACGUGCGCUCUGGUCCGGCACAACUCUGUGAAAUUUGAUCUAAUACCGGAUACUCCUUUUUGGGGGAAGGCUUGCUGCCGGAGGAUCGGCUCGCGUCUGAUUAGCUUGGUGGUGAGGUAACCGCCCGCCAAGGCGAGGAUCAGUAGCUGGUCUGAGAGGAUGAUCAGCCACACUGGGACUGGGACACGGCCCAGACUCCUACGGGAGGCAGCAGUGGUGGAUAUUGGACAAUGGGCGCGAGCCUGAACCAGCCAGGCCGCGAGGGUGAUGAAGGCCUUAGGGUUGUAAAGCUCUUUUAUCCGGGACGGUAAUGACGGUACCGGAGGAAUAAGCCCCGGCUAACUUCGUG